RNAcentral lists this long non-coding RNA (247 nucleotides) under Panax ginseng (ginseng). RNAcentral describes it as "long non-coding RNA (PGIN_LNC011705)". The record is from RNAcentral. Lineage: Eukaryota; Viridiplantae; Streptophyta; Magnoliopsida; Apiales; Araliaceae.
AUAUUUUAUCUUUUCUGAUAAAAUAAUUCAUUUAGAUAUAUUAUUUUAAUAAUAUAUUAACGGUGAUAUUUUUAUAAUGAAUGUGGGAUAUAUGAGUAUAUGAGGAGGAAGAGUAUUUUUAUGGCAUUAAAUAUUUAACACAUGUUUUGUGUGUCGGUGGACACAAUUCUUGACCGAAAAUUGAUUAUAGACUGUAAUAUCGUCCGUUUAUGGAUUUUGGUCAAUUUCUCUUUAGAAUUUGGAAAAC